AGAGUUUGAUCCUGGCUCAGGACGAAUGCUGGCGGCGCGCCUAACACAUGCAAGUCGAACGAGCGAGAGAGAGCUUGCUUUCUCGAGCGAGUGGCGAACGGGUGAGUAACGCGUGAGGAACCUGCCUCAAAGAGGGGGACAACAGUUGGAAACGACUGCUAAUACCGCAUAAGCCCACGGGUCGGCAUCGACCAGAGGGAAAAGGAGCAAUCCGCUUUGAGAUGGCCUCGCGUCCGAUUAGCUAGUUGGUGAGGUAACGGCCCACCAAGGCGACGAUCGGUAGCCGGACUGAGAGGUUGAACGGCCACAUUGGGACUGAGACACGGCCCAGACUCCUACGGGAGGCAGCAGUGGGGAAUAUUGCACAAUGGGGGAAACCCUGAUGCAGCGACGCCGCGUGGAGGAAGAAGGUCUUCGGAUUGUAAACUCCUGUUGUUGAGGAAGAUAAUGACGGUACUCAACAAGGAAGUGACGGCUAACUACGUGCCAGCAGCCGCGGUAAAACGUAGGUCACAAGCGUUGUCCGGAAUUACUGGGUGUAAAGGGAGCGCAGGCGGGAAGACAAGUUGGAAGUGAAAUCUAUGGGCUCAACCCAUAAACUGCUUUCAAAACUGUUUUUCUUGAGUAGUGCAGAGGUAGGCGGAAUUCCCGGUGUAGCGGUGGAAUGCGUAGUUAUCGGGAGGAACACCAGUGGCGAAGGCGGCCUACUGGGCACCAACUGACGCUGAGGCUCGAAAGUGUGGGUAGCAAACAGGAUUAGAUACCCUGGUAGUCCACACCGUAAACGAUGAUUACUAGGUGUUGGAGGAUUGACCCCUUCAGUGCCGCAGUUAACACAAUAAGUAAUCCACCUGGGGAGUACGACCGCAAGGUUGAAACUCAAAGGAAUUGACGGGGGCCCGCACAAGCAGUGGAGUAUGUGGUUUAAUUCGACGCAACGCGAAGAACCUUACCAAGUCUUGACAUCCUGCGACGCACAUAGAAAUAUGUGUUUCCUUCGGGACGCAGAGACAGGUGGUGCAUGGUUGUCGUCAGCUCGUGUCGUGAGAUGUUGGGUUAAGUCCCGCAACGAGCGCAACCCUUACUGUCAGUUACUACGCAAGAGGACUCUGGCAGGACUGCCGUUGACAAAACGGAGGAAGGUGGGGAUGACGUCAAAUCAUCAUGCCCUUUAUGACUUGGGCUACACACGUACUACAAUGGCGUUAAACAAAGAGAAGCAAGACCGCGAGGUGGAGCAAAACUCAGAAACAACGUCCCAGUUCGGACUGCAGGCUGCAACUCGCCUGCACGAAGUCGGAAUUGCUAGUAAUCGUGGAUCAGCAUGCCACGGUGAAUACGUUCCCGGGCCUUGCACACACCGCCCGUCA
RNAcentral lists this ribosomal RNA (1370 nucleotides) under uncultured bacterium. RNAcentral describes it as "bacterial SSU rRNA". It matches the Rfam family "Bacterial small subunit ribosomal RNA". The record is from RNAcentral.